Molecule: long non-coding RNA, 412 nt
Organism: Ictalurus punctatus (channel catfish)
Lineage: Eukaryota; Metazoa; Chordata; Actinopteri; Siluriformes; Ictaluridae
Source: Ensembl
GAUGUGUGAACAGGAUUAAACUCCUCCACACAGCUCUUAGACAGCAUUCCUUACACGUUUAAGUGCCCUCAGGAGAAAUCUGCAGUCUCCAGAAGAAAGAUGAAUAAUUCUGAGUCUGGUUUCAGGCUCCAGGACGCACCGCCUGCAGGAUAGUUAAUGAACACUAUUAUAAGAUUUUUUAGGUUGAACAAAAAUAUUCUGCUCUGAGUGGAGGAAGUGCAGGUGGAGGUGAGGAGAAGGAGGGAGUGCAGGUGGACGUGAGGAGAAGGAGGGAGUGCAGGUGGAGGUGAGGAGAAGGAGGGAGUGCAGGUGGAGGUGAGGAGAAGGAGGGAGUGCAGGUGGAAGUGAGGAGAAGGAGGGAGUGCAGGUGGAGGUGAGGAGAAGGAGGGAGUGCAGGUGGAGGUGAGGAGAA